Molecule: long non-coding RNA, 726 nt
Filed under: Brassica rapa (field mustard)
Lineage: Eukaryota; Viridiplantae; Streptophyta; Magnoliopsida; Brassicales; Brassicaceae
Description: long non-coding RNA (BRAP_LNC007479)
Source: RNAcentral
AGAGAAGGACGGCCCAACCCUAGAGAGAGGCGGCUUAGAGAGAAAAGGAAACCGUCUUUCAUUUUCCUUAAACUUGUUAUCUUUCUAUUAUUAUGUAUUAGUAGUUUUCGUAAUCCUAGUAAGUUUAGGUUUUGGAUACUUUCCAUUUUACUUAUCUUGUAAUCCUUAUAUAAAGGAAUCCCUUUGAUAAUUAAUAAUAACACAAAAAUAUUCAGUCUCUAAACUCUCUAAUUAUAACUGACUGAGAAUAUAUAUGAUUUGCGUCUAAGAUAUAUUCAACUUAUUGUCACAAAAAACUUAAUAAAAAAAAUAUAUACUUUGUUUUAAGGACAUUAAAAAUUACCUUAAAAAUUUUAACAUUUUAAAAAAAAAUAUGAAUCAAUAAUAUUAAUAUAAAAUUUUAUCCAAAAAACUCAGCACUAAAUAAAUGCAUAAACAAAAAAACAAACAAACCCUAAACCCUAUAAUCUUAAGCAUUAUUCUAAACCAAACCUUAAACCCAACCUAAACCAAACGCUAAACCAUUCUUACUACCUAAACCCUAAAUUCUACCUAACCCUAGACUCUACCUAAACCUAGACCUUAACCUAUCUAAUCCUAAACCCUACAUAAACCUAACCCUAAUCCCUAAACCCUUCAUACUACCUAAACCCUAAACCUACCUAACCCUAAACGCAAACCCUACCUAACCCUAAACCCUUCAUACUACCUAAACCCUAAACCUAC